UAGGGAAUCUUCGGCAAUGGACGAAAGUCUGACCGAGCAACGCCGCGUGAGUGAAGAAGGUUUUCGGAUCGUAAAACUCUGUUGGUAGAGAAGAACGUUGGUGAGAGUGGAAAGCUCAUCAAGUGACGGUAACUACCCAGAAAGGGACGGCUAACUACGUGCCUG
This 165-nucleotide ribosomal RNA is filed under the name uncultured bacterium. Its description in RNAcentral is "partial 16S ribosomal RNA". It matches the Rfam family "Bacterial small subunit ribosomal RNA", at positions 355 to 511 of the family's 1533-position model. The record is from RNAcentral.